CCUACGGGAGGCAGCAGUGGGGAAUCUUCCGCAAUGGGCGAAAGCCUGACGGAGCAACGCCGCGUGAUCGAAUGAAGGCCUUCGGGUUGUAAAGAUCUGUUGACAGGGACGAAUAAGCAAUGCGAAUAGUUUUGUGUAUGACGGUACCUGUUUAGAAAGCUCCGGCUAACUACGUGCCAGCAGCCGCGGUAAUACGUAGGGAGCAAGCGUUGUCCGGAAUUACUGGGCGUAAAGGGCGCGUAGGUGGGCGCUUAAGUCAGGUGUGAAAACUCCGGGCUCAACCUGGAGACUGCACUUGAAACUGGGUGUCUUGAGGGCAGGAGAGGAAAGUGGAAUUCCUAGUGUAGCGGUGAAAUGCGUAGAUAUUAGGAGGAACACCAGUGGCGAAGGCGACUUUCUGGACUGUACCUGACGCUGAGGCGCGAAAGCGUGGGUAGCGAACGGGAUUAGAUACCCCAGUAGUC
This 464-nucleotide ribosomal RNA is filed under the name uncultured bacterium. RNAcentral describes it as "partial 16S ribosomal RNA". It matches the Rfam family "Bacterial small subunit ribosomal RNA", at positions 338 to 795 of the family's 1533-position model. The record is from RNAcentral.